UAUACGACCGUACCGCAAACCGACACUGGUGCGCGAGAUGAGUAUUCUAAGGCGCUUGAGAGAACUCAGGAGAAGGAACUCGGCAAAUUGACACCGUAACUUCGGAAGAAGGUGUGCCCUAUUAGUGUGUAGUGAACAACGAAGCAUGAAUGGGUUGCAAAAAAUCGGUGGCUGCGACUGUUUAUUAAAAACACAGCACUCUGCAAACACGAAAGUGGACGUAUAGGGUGUGACGCCUGCCCGGUGCUGGAAGAUUAAAUGAUGGGGUGCAAGCUCUUGAUUGAAGUCCCAGUAAACGGCGGCCGUAACUAUAACGGUCCUAAGGUAGCGAAAUUCCUUGUCGGGUAAGUUCCGACCUGCACGAAUGGCGUAACGAUGGCCACACUGUCUCCUCCUGAGACUCAGCGAAGUUGAAAUGUUUGUGAUGAUGCAAUCUCCCCGCGGAAAGACGGAAAGACCCCAUGAACCUUUACUGUAGCUUUGUAUUGGACUUUGAACAGAUCUGUGUAGGAUAGGUGGGAGGCUUUGAAGCAGGGUCGCUAGAUCUUGUGGAGCCAACGUUGAAAUACCACCCUGGUGUGUUUGAGGUUCUAACCUAGGUCCAUUAUCUGGAUCGGGGACAGUGCAUGGUAGGCAGUUUGACUGGGGCGGUCUCCUCCCAAAGCGUAACGGAGGAGUUCGAAGGUACGCUAGUUACGGUCGGACAUCGUGACGAUAGUGCAAUGGCAUAAGCGUGCUUAACUGCGAGACUGACAAGUCGAGCAGAUGCGAAAGCAGGACAUAGUGAUCCGGUGGUUCUGUAUGGAAGGGCCAUCGCUCAACGGAUAAAAGGUACUCUGGGGAUAACAGGCUGAUACCGCCCAAGAGUUCAUAUCGACGGCGGUGUUUGGCACCUCGAUGUCGGCUCAUCUCAUCCUGGGGCUGUAGCCGGUCCCAAGGGUAUGGCUGUUCGCCAUUUAAAGAGGUACGUGAGCUGGGUUUAAAACGUCGUGAGACAGUUUGGUCCCUAUCUUCCGUGGGCGCUGCAGAUUUGAGGAAGCCUGCUCCUAGUACGAGAGGACCGGAGUGGACACACCUCUGGUGUAUCGGUUGUCACGCCAGUGGCACUGCCGAGUAGCUAAGUGUGGAAGAGAUAACCGCUGAAAGCAUCUAAGCGGGAAACUCGUCUCAAGAUGAGAUCUGCCGGGGCCUUGAGCCCCCUAAAGAGUCGUUCAAGACCAGGACGUUGAUAGGUCAGGUGUGGAAGC
RNAcentral lists this ribosomal RNA (1247 nucleotides) under metagenome. Its description in RNAcentral is "bacterial LSU rRNA". It matches the Rfam family "Bacterial large subunit ribosomal RNA", at positions 1635 to 2874 of the family's 2925-position model. The record is from RNAcentral.